UACGGAGGAUGCGAGCGUUAUCCGGAUUUAUUGGGUUUAAAGAGAGCGUAGGCGGGUUGUUAAGUCAGUUGUGAAAGUUUGCGGCUCAACCGUAAAAUUGCAGUUGAUACUGGCAUCCUUGAGUACAGUAGAGGUAGGCGGAAUUCGUGGUGUAGCGGUGAAAUGCUUAGAUAUCACGAAGAACUCCGAUUGCGAAGGCAGCCUGCUGGACUGUAACUGACGCUGAUGCUCGAAAGUGUGGGUAUCAAACAGG
Molecule: ribosomal RNA, 253 nt
Filed under: uncultured bacterium
Lineage: Bacteria
Description: partial 16S ribosomal RNA
Rfam family: Bacterial small subunit ribosomal RNA
Source: RNAcentral